Molecule: ribosomal RNA, 274 nt
Filed under: uncultured bacterium
Lineage: Bacteria
Description: partial 16S ribosomal RNA
Rfam family: Bacterial small subunit ribosomal RNA
Source: RNAcentral
AUACGGAGGGUCCAAGCGUUAUCCGGAAUCAUUGGGUUUAAAGGGUCCGCAGGCGGUCAAUUAAGUCAGAGGUGAAAGCCCAUCGCUCAACGAUGGAACUGCCUUUGAUACUGGUUGACUUGAGUUAUACGGAAGUAGAUAGAAUAAGUAGUGUAGCGGUGAAAUGCAUAGAUAUUACUUAGAAUACCGAUUGCGAAGGCAGUCUACUACGUAUAUACUGACGCUGAGGGACGAAAGCGUGGGGAGCGAACAGGGUUAGAAACCCUAGUAGUCC